GAUGAACGCUGGCGGCGUGCCUAAUACAUGCAAGUCGAGCGAACGGACGAGAAGCUUGCUUCUCUGAUGUUAGCGGCGGACGGGUGAGUAACACGUGGAUAACCUACCUAUAAGACUGGGAUAACUUCGGGAAACCGGAGCUAAUACCGGAUAAUAUUUUGAACCGCAUGGUUCAAAAGUGAAAGACGGUCUUGCUGUCACUUAUAGAUGGAUCCGCGCUGCAUUAGCUAGUUGGUAAGGUAACGGCUUACCAAGGCAACGAUGCAUAGCCGACCUGAGAGGGUGAACGGCCACACUGGAACUGAGACACGGUCCUGACUCCUACGGGAGGCAGCAGUAGGGAAUCUUCCGCAAUGGGCGAAAGCCUGACGGAGCAACGCCGCGUGAGUGAUGAAGGUCUUCGGAUCGUAAAACUCUGUUAUUAGGGAAGAACAUAUGUGUAAGUAACUGUGCACAUCUUGGCGGUACCUAAUCAGAAAGCCACGGCUAACUACGUG
This 497-nucleotide ribosomal RNA is filed under the name uncultured bacterium. RNAcentral describes it as "partial 16S ribosomal RNA". It matches the Rfam family "Bacterial small subunit ribosomal RNA", at positions 28 to 507 of the family's 1533-position model. The record is from RNAcentral.